UUUCCGUAGGUGAACCUGCGGAAGGAUCAUUAAAGUUAUAGUCCCCUGGCCCUCUGGGCUGGGGUCUUCUAUACCACCCUUUGUUUAUUACACCUUUGUUGCUUUGGCAGGCCUGCCCUCGGGCUGCUGGCUCCGGCCGGCUCGCGUCUGCCAGAGGACCUAAACUCUGUUUGUAUAUGAAGUCUGAGUACUAUAUAAUAGUUAAAACUUUCAACAACAGAUCUCUUGGUUCUG
RNAcentral lists this unclassified non-coding RNA (234 nucleotides) under plant metagenome. Its description in RNAcentral is "partial contains small subunit ribosomal RNA, internal transcribed spacer 1, and 5.8S ribosomal RNA". The record is from RNAcentral.